UACGGAGGAUGCGAGCGUUAUCCGGAUUUAUUGGGUUUAAAGGGUGCGUAGGCGGUAUUUUAAGUUAGUGGUAAAACGUCGGGGCUUCACCUUGAUUGGCCAUUAAAACUGGAGUACUAGAGUACAGACGAGGUAGGCGGAAUAAGUUAAGUAGCGGUGAAAUGCUUAGAUAUCAGGAGGAACAUCGGUGGCGUAAGCGCUUUACUGGGCCGUAAUUGACGCUGAGGAACGAAAGCCAGGGUAGCAAAUGGG
This 252-nucleotide ribosomal RNA is filed under the name uncultured bacterium. RNAcentral describes it as "partial 16S ribosomal RNA". It matches the Rfam family "Bacterial small subunit ribosomal RNA", at positions 524 to 776 of the family's 1533-position model. The record is from RNAcentral.